Anas platyrhynchos (mallard) is the source of this 287-nucleotide non-coding RNA. The record is from RefSeq and is a predicted model, not a curated record. NCBI's taxonomy places the organism in Eukaryota, Metazoa, Chordata, Aves, Anseriformes, Anatidae.
UUCUGACCACAAAGAGGCUAUGAAACUAGCCUGGAAACAAGGCUAUGAAACUAUUCUGGAAUUACAGGGUGAUGGAGCACAUUCUGCUGUAGUCACUGCCAACCAGAGGAGCAGGGGAGGAACACCUGGCAGAAGAAAACUGUAUCUUGAGCAGUCACACUUUUGCUAAGAUGAUCACACGACGCCUUUGCCAAAGGCACUUCCUGCAAAGACCACAGCCAAAGUGGUGGGCUGAGAGACCUCCCCGUGCUUGAGGAGAAAAAGGAAGCAAAGAGAGAAGUGGGGAG